Manis javanica (Malayan pangolin) is the source of this 899-nucleotide non-coding RNA. The record is from RefSeq and is a predicted model, not a curated record. NCBI's taxonomy places the organism in Eukaryota, Metazoa, Chordata, Mammalia, Pholidota, Manidae.
UUCUUUUUCCUCUGUAAUCAGGGAGGGAUCAGGAAAGAGGAAAGGGAAAAGAAACUCUUCUGGGCCUAAAGAAAAGAUCCACAUUCCCUGAAAGUAAGUCCAAACAGCUUAUCUGGAAACCAGCAUGUAGAGGUGGACUUGAAUUUGCUAAAGAGGUUUUUUGGCCAAAUCCUUCUUGCUUUAAAAGUAAAGAAAACAGCCAGUGAGUGACUGGGUGUUCAGCAGAGUCUCAUCAGCUAUGGUGCAGCUCCCGUGAAGAAGGCCAAGUUGAGCUGCUGCCAGAUUUCAUGCCAAAUUCACAUGAAAAAUGAGGAUUUUCUAUGAGAUUAUUGUGAAAAGGGGCUUCAGACAGUCUGGAAUAGGUCCUAAGGAGAGGAAUUCACUGCGAUUUCAGAUUUAGGGAAAAAGCAGCCCACUGGCUUAGUUCACCUUCCUCUAUCCCAUGCCUCUAUUGCAGGAUAAUGAGGCCUGCACUUAUGUGGUGUCUACACUGUGCAGGCACCAGAGCAACCUCUGGAGCUGUUUGCUUUCACCUAGAAUUAAAGUCUCUUCCCUUCUUUCCCUGACUGGCUUUGACGGAUGGCCUGUCAGAGUUUUUGUUCUGACCUAAGGUGACACUUGUCGUAAUUUGCUGUUUACACUAGGGUUCUACAAGGACAAAGAUAGAGAAAUGUCUCAGUGCUCAGGAGCACAUGUAUGACCUGAUAUAAUAUUAUCAGGAAGAGAAGCCCUAAUAGAAGGACUCUGAGUGCUUGAGUUUCAGCAUCUCUUGAUUCCCAAGACUCACGGGAGUGAAUUACGGCCCUCUAUCUAUGUCCAUCUUCUGCUUUAGACUGGUGAAUACAUCAAGGAAAUGACAUGAUUUAACUCAUUUUCAUCAUCUUAGUGUCUGUCAUAAU